RNAcentral lists this ribosomal RNA (359 nucleotides) under uncultured bacterium. RNAcentral's name for it is "bacterial SSU rRNA". It matches the Rfam family "Bacterial small subunit ribosomal RNA", at positions 163 to 507 of the family's 1533-position model. The record is from RNAcentral.
CUAAUACCGCAAUAAAACCUAACACCGCAUGGUGUAGGGUUGAAAGAUGGGUUUCGGCUAUCACUUUAGGAUGGACCCGCGGUGCAUUAGUUAGUUGGUGAGGUAAAGGCUCACCAAGACCGUGAUGCAUAGCCGACCUGAGAGGGUAAUCGGCCACACUGGGACUGAGACACGGCCCAGACUCCUACGGGAGGCAGCAGUAGGGAAUCUUCCACAAUGGACGAAAGUCUGAUGGAGCAACGCCGCGUGAGUGAAGAAGGUUUUCGGAUCGUAAACUCUGUUGUUGGAGAAGAAUGUAUCUGAUAGUAACUGAUCAGGUAGUGACGGUAUCCAACCAGAAAGCCACGGCUAACUACGUG